UUUUAUUAGUUAUGGAAAUUCCAUAUUACUUAUUUCAAAACUUAUCAGGCGCGGUUGGUGUGUGAGCGUAGACUAGUAUUGUAUAAAAGCACGAAUAUGUGAGAGUGUAUUAGGAGUAUUUGUUUAAUUGUAAGUUGAGUAGUGAAAAUGAAAGCAUUGUCGGGAAAAUUGGGAAAGAAAGAGAGAGUAGUAGUAGUAAGGUUGCUGAAGGAGCAGAAGAAGCAAAUGGUUAUUGAGAUGCGAGCUAACGAUUUUAAUGGAAAUCGAAAUGGAAAUUUCUCCGUACUCUUUCUUUUCCUCCUUUUCAUUCUCAUCCUCUUCGUUCUUUAGUUUAAUUUCUUUCAUUAUCUUAACUAUACAUUUUAUUUGAUUCGUCUGAUCGUUUUUCCUUUCUAAUCAAUCAUUUUGAAAUCAAAUACUCACUUAUUCUUGUUGUUGUAAUUUUGGUGGUUGUUAGGGAUUUCUUUUUGGCUUUGGUUCGAACUGUUUGAUUUAGAACUAAUCUGUAUUUCUCUUUUCUUGGUGAUUAAUUAAGCUCUGGAUCUUAUUUUGGUAAUGGUCAAAUCGAUCUUGGUUAACUGGGUUUAGGGUCUGAGAGCCUUUGGCUGUAUCUAUUUUUUUGCUAGAUUUAUUAGUACAAAAAAAAUAUCUAUAUCUUUGGAUUUGACAUAUGUUUGUGCCAUUAUACUAAUACAAUCGUGUCUAUACUGUCAACUUUUUUGUGUACUUAAGGGUAUUCAUCCAUUCCUCUGCGAGAUUUUGUAAUUCCAGGGGGAGGUUUAUUCCUUUCUCUCUUUUUUUUCUUUUGACCUACCUUACUCAUCACAUAGCAAAGAAAAACAAUGACUUGCAGGCCUUGUAACAAGGAACCCNNNNNNN
Molecule: long non-coding RNA, 879 nt
Filed under: Panax ginseng (ginseng)
Lineage: Eukaryota; Viridiplantae; Streptophyta; Magnoliopsida; Apiales; Araliaceae
Description: long non-coding RNA (PGIN_LNC009748)
Source: RNAcentral